CGCCAGACUCCUACGGGAGGCAGCAGUGGGGAAUAUUGCACAAUGGGGGAAACCCUGAUGCAGCGACGCCGCGUGAGUGAAGAAGUAUUUCGGUAUGUAAAGCUCUAUCAGCAGGGAAGAAAAUGACGGUACCUGACUAAGAGGCCCCGGCUAACUACGUGCCAGCAGCCGCGGUAAUACGUAGGGGGCAAGCGUUAUCCGGAUUUACUGGGUGUAAAGGGAGCGUAGACGGCAUGGCAAGUCAGAUGUGAAAGCCCGGGGCUCAACCCCGGGACUGCAUUUGAAACUGUCAGGCUGGAGUGCAGGAGAGGUAAGUGGAAUUCCUAGUGUAGCGGUGAAAUGCGUAGAUAUUAGGAGGAACACCAGUGGCGAAGGCGGCUUACUGGACUGUAACUGACGUUGAGGCUCGAGAGCGUGGGGAGCAAACAGGAUUAGAUACCCGUGUA
Molecule: ribosomal RNA, 446 nt
Filed under: uncultured bacterium
Lineage: Bacteria
Description: bacterial SSU rRNA
Rfam family: Bacterial small subunit ribosomal RNA
Source: RNAcentral